RNAcentral lists this ribosomal RNA (2024 nucleotides) under Triticum aestivum (bread wheat). Its description in RNAcentral is "partial small subunit ribosomal RNA". Lineage: Eukaryota; Viridiplantae; Streptophyta; Magnoliopsida; Poales; Poaceae. The record is from RNAcentral.
GAGCUCCUGGCUUCUUACCGACGUUAGCGUUCCACCUGGAGUCAAUACGCGGCGGCGGACGGCACGCGGGUAGAGGUGAGAGAGCCGCAGCGGCAUCCUCCGGAGCUUACUCCUAGCUCGCCAGGAACUCGUAUCCGGGCGUUUAUUCGUCGAGGGGGAAACCCUCGGCGUCAGGAGUUAGCUUCGUCGUCGUCAAGGUAGAACUCGACGAGGAGUUAGGCUCAAUGUCGGCCGUUAGCUUCGUUAGGAGAGACUCGGCGUCAGCCUUUAGCUUCGCGUAGGGGAAAAAUCACCGUCAUGCCUUAGUUUCGUCAGGAAGGGCCCUAUGUUAGUCUUCGUCCACCGCUCUUAGAUCGUCGAUAUAUCUAUAGACCGGACCGCCGUUGGCGCCAUGGGCGGUCAAAAUUCUCUUAUGUUGGUCGAGGCAGGCCGCUGGCUGACGGUCUAGCUACCGGCUUGGUAGGCACUUCCCGGAGCCGUUUAGGAGGGGGCUGCACCACCUCCCGUUACUUCAACUAUCCGAGUCGUUCAACGGGCUACUGCAAAACGAGUUGUAACACCUCGCUGAACUAUAACGACUACGUCGUGCUUGGUGGUAGGAGAGGUCUGCAACCUUCGUCUAGGGACGAUAUGAGAGUUUCGAAUAGUAUUACCAACCAAGAAAAGUCGGGUUAGUACUUUCAUCCUUCAAUUGGAGUCUACUAUAUCAAGCCCGGUUAUGGUGGCACGACCUUCGUUGGUCCUCGUAUGACCUUUCCUCCCGACCUUCAGGUAUGUGGUAAGUGGACAACGCGUACGUUAAGAUGAACCCUCUACUCAGGUAAAAGUAACCGGUCUGACAACGGUUGUGGUAUCGUUGUGUUUUCCAACGAAGUCAACUCAAAUGUUAGUACUGCUUCCACGCGUUUUUCUAAUGGUUAUUACCCGACGAGUGAAUACCCUCCGUCAAGUACAGUAAAAAACUAAGCACGGGUUUGUGUAAACCACCAGAACGUGCGGAGUGCGAUCUCUUAAACUCCAAUCCGCUUAGUAUGAAGGGGUUUUAAAAGUCACAUACGUUCGUUGACCUCAAUGAGGCGGAGAUGGUGACACUAUACCCGUAGCUGAGAAACAACCUUCACCUUGUGGGUGUUGAGUCACUUGAUCACUAACGGACAUCGUCCGAAUAAUUCUCCCAACUAGACUUCACCAAUGGUUUUGAGUGUCAUGACUUUAAAUUACAUAAAUCUAGAGUUCUACCGGGGAAAACAGAACCAAUACAGGGUGACGAGGUGUGACACUGGUAGUAAUUAUGACCAAAACGAACCGUGUUCUACGAGUUCAAAUCACUCAACGACCCAUUUUGGCCGUAUUCGUUGGACGUAAACCUGAAGUCUUCGCUUUUCUAAACCCAGUUUGGCCUUCCAGCUUCUGUUAACAAUGGCCACAAGGUGUUUGAUUGCGAACACUUAAACGAAUUGUAAAGACUUCUUACACUAAACUGAACCUAUUACAAGUAUGAGGUUCCACGUGGGUGGGAAUUCCUUGAUGCGUAGAACCACGCCCUAGUAAAUACACUUUACUAAAGCCCCCUCGUCUCCUUUUUUAAACACAAAUCGCUCCUCUUCCUGUUACCUGAUCUCACCCUUGGACGUGGACUAAAGUUCGUGGUGUUGGAACGGCUCGAGUCUUACAUACCCUCCAAAGCUCGUGUUCUGUUGUAGCACGCGAAACAGUCCUUACAGUACCUUCGUCGCCACUUAGACCUCCUGUAUUUUGAAAAAUUCUCAGGUCACACACUCUUGACGUUCGUGUACGAAGUCCUCACCUGUAACUACCUCUUCAGCAGCGAAUCGGUGUUUGAGUUGUACCCCUACGACAGAAGCUUGCAGGUCUAAGUCAAGGGCUCAAAUCCCUUUAAAGCAUGCACCAGUUUUAUGACGAGAAUUCGACGUUCGACGUCGUCAACUAUCCUUGACAACAUAGUAACAUACGUAGCUAAUUAACAGUGAUCGCUUGGAAAAGUUAAUACACAUAAAACUUUA